Molecule: small nuclear RNA, 106 nt
Organism: Choloepus didactylus (southern two-toed sloth)
Lineage: Eukaryota; Metazoa; Chordata; Mammalia; Pilosa; Megalonychidae
Source: RefSeq, a predicted model, not a curated record
GUGUUCGCUUCAGCAGCACAAAUGCUAAAAUUGGAAUGACAGUGAGAAGAUUAGCAUGGCCCUUACUGGGGAUGACAUGCAAUUUGGUGAGAAUAUGUAGCCUGUA